GACGAACGCUGGCGGCGUGCUUAACACAUGCAAGUCGAACGGAAAGGCCCUGCUUUUGUGGGGUGCUCGAGUGGCGAACGGGUGAGUAACACGUGAGUAACCUGCCCUUGACUUUGGGAUAACUUCAGGAAACUGGGGCUAAUACCGGAUAGGAGCUCCUGCUGCAUGGUGGGGGUUGGAAAGUUUCGGCGGUUGGGGAUGGACUCGCGGCUUAUCAGCUUGUUGGUGGGGUAGUGGCUUACCAAGGCUUUGGCGGGUAGCCGGCCUGAGAGGGUGACGGCCACAUUGGGACUGAGAUACGGCCCAGACUCCUACGGGAGGCAGCAGUGGGGAAUAUUGCACAAUGGGCGGAAGCCUGAUGCAGCAACGCCGCGUGCGGGAUGACGGCCUUCGGGUUGUAAACCGCUUUCGCCUGUGACGAAGCGUGAGUGACGGUAAUGGGUAAAGAAGCACCGGCUAACUACGUG
RNAcentral lists this ribosomal RNA (467 nucleotides) under uncultured bacterium. RNAcentral's name for it is "partial 16S ribosomal RNA". It matches the Rfam family "Bacterial small subunit ribosomal RNA", at positions 28 to 507 of the family's 1533-position model. The record is from RNAcentral.